RNAcentral lists this ribosomal RNA (486 nucleotides) under uncultured bacterium. Its description in RNAcentral is "partial 16S ribosomal RNA". It matches the Rfam family "Bacterial small subunit ribosomal RNA", at positions 30 to 507 of the family's 1533-position model. The record is from RNAcentral.
AGUGAACGCUGGCGGUAUGCCUAACACAUGCAAGUCGAACGGCAGCACGGGAGCUUGUAGCUGGUGGCGGGGGGCGGAGGGGGGAGUGAUACAUCGGAACCGGACCCGUAGUGGUGGUGGGGCCUACGAAAGCCGGAUUAAUGCCGCAAACGAACAACUGCUUAAAGAGGAGGCCGUGCCUGUUUCGCGCUUUAGGGAUGGCAUGGGCCUGUUUAGCUAGUUGGAGGGGUAAAGGCCUACCAAGGCGACGAUCAGUAGCUGGUCUGAGAGGACGAACAGCCACACUGGAACUGAGACACGGCCCAGACUCCUACGGGAGGCAGCAGUGGGGAAUAUUGGACAAUGGGCGGAAGCCUGAUCCAGCAAUGCCGCGUGGGUGAAGAAGGCCUUCGGGUUGUAAAGCACUUUUGUUCGGAAAGAAAACCUUGACGCUAAUACGGUCGUGGGAUGACGGUACCGAAAGAAUAAGCACCGGCUAACUACGUG